RNAcentral lists this ribosomal RNA (470 nucleotides) under uncultured Methanomicrobiales archaeon. Its description in RNAcentral is "bacterial SSU rRNA". It matches the Rfam family "Archaeal small subunit ribosomal RNA", at positions 871 to 1337 of the family's 1478-position model. The record is from RNAcentral. Lineage: Archaea; Methanobacteriati; Methanobacteriota; Methanomicrobia; Methanomicrobiales.
ACGGGGAGCACCACAACAGGUGGAGCCUGCGGUUUAAUCGGACUCAACGCCGGGAAACUCACCAGAUAAGACAGCUGAAUGAUAGUCGGGCUGAGGACUCUACUUGACUAGCUGAGAGGAGGUGCAUGGCCGUCGUCAGUUCGUACUGUGAAGCAUCCUGUUAAGUCAGGCAACGAGCGAGACCCACGCCAACAGUUGCCAGCUCGUCCUCCGGGGUGGUGGGGACACUGUUGGGACCGCCUCUGCUAAAGAGGAGGAAGGAAUGGGCAACGGUAGGUCAGCAUGCCCCGAAUUAUCUGGGCUACACGCGGGCUACAAUGGGUGGGACAAUGGGUAUCGACACCGAAAGGUGAAGGCAAUCUCCUAAACCCAUCCGUAGUUCGGAUUGUGGGCUGCAACUCGCCCACAUGAAGCUGGAAUCUGUAGUAAUCGUGUCUCAAAAUGGCACGGUGAAUAUGUCCCUGCUCCUU